CGUCUCGCGCGCAGCAUGCAUCGAGCCGAGCCGCGUGUGUGAGAAGGUCUUCGGAUUGUAAGCACUUUAAGUUGGGAGGAAGGGCAGUAAGUUAAUACCUUGCUGUCUUGACGUUACCGACAGAAUACGCACCGGCUAACUCUGUGCCAGCAGCCGCGGUAAUAUAA
Molecule: ribosomal RNA, 167 nt
Filed under: uncultured Pseudomonas sp.
Lineage: Bacteria; Pseudomonadati; Pseudomonadota; Gammaproteobacteria; Pseudomonadales; Pseudomonadaceae
Description: partial 16S ribosomal RNA
Rfam family: Bacterial small subunit ribosomal RNA
Source: RNAcentral